UGGCCAAAUAUAACAGCUUCCACAAAUAUACAAAGGUCAUAAUAUAACAGUACUCCACAAUUGAUAUGGUUUGUAAAAGCUUCCACAAAGAUGUAUACUUGGAUGCUGUCUUCUUCCCCAAGUGUUUGGAUGACGUGUACACUUUUCAUCAAGAGGGCUGGCACUAUGAGCUUAAUGAUCCCUCACAAGACAUAUCUUACAAAGGUUUUUUAUUUACCUUUCUAGAGCUCUUUUCCUCUACUUAAUUAAUAGUGCCUUAGUAUUAUUGAUAUUAUCUUCUUUUCGUUUAUCUGCUACUUCAUGUAUACUCUCACCCAUCCCUCAAGAAUUGUUUAAAAGUCAAAAUUAUUAUGCUAGUACACUGCUAUAGCCAAUAAUCAAAUAAGGCGGCAACCUCCUUGUCAAAGGGGUUACUGGCACCAAUAAGCAUCAACCUCCUCCUUGUCAAAAUUGAACUAGCUUCUUCAAAAGGACAACAUAAACAGAGUACUAAAAAGUAGAUUAGUUGAAAUUUCCAGAAAUAUUUUCUGUUUAUUUCGUAUGAUAUCUACUAAUCAAGUAAAAUUUUGGCUUCUGCAUCCAAUAAACACAAGGUAACCGGAUGAAAAGGUUUGAAUGAUUUGGCUGCAUAUGUAUUCUUGCAAGUUGUUUGAAUGGAGUGGGACAUAGAUGGAAGCUUGUUCAGUAAGAAGGCUGAGUUUGGUUGUUCUCGAGACAGACAGUUAUCAUAUAAAACGAAGCGAAGCUAGUUGUCGGAAGUAGCACUUAGUGACCUCGCCUCCUCCGCAAUAGCAGCCUCAGUU
Camelina sativa (false flax) is the source of this 803-nucleotide non-coding RNA. NCBI's taxonomy places the organism in Eukaryota, Viridiplantae, Streptophyta, Magnoliopsida, Brassicales, Brassicaceae. The record is from RefSeq and is a predicted model, not a curated record.